GGCCUCAUCGUCUAAUGGUUAGGACGGCGCCCUUUCACGGCGCAAAUGGGAGUUCGAUUCUCCCUGGGGCUA
This 72-nucleotide transfer RNA is filed under the name bacterium. RNAcentral describes it as "tRNA-Glu". It matches the Rfam family "tRNA". From Rfam's summary of the family: Transfer RNA (tRNA) molecules are approximately 80 nucleotides in length. Their secondary structure includes four short double-helical elements and three loops (D, anti-codon, and T loops). The record is from RNAcentral.